GGAAUCUUCCGCAAUGGGCGAAAGCCUGACGGAGCGACGCCGCGUGAGCGAAGAAGGCCUUCGGGUCGUAAAGCUCUGUUGUGAGGGACGAAGGAGCGCCGUUCGAAGAGGGCGGCGCGGUGACGGUACCUCACGAGGAAGCCCCGGCUAACUACGUGCCAGCAGCCGCGGUAAUACGUAGGGGGCGAGCGUUGUCCGGAAUUAUUGGGCGUAAAGCGCGCGCAGGCGGUCCCUUAAGUCUGAUGUGAAAGCCCACGGCUCAACCGUGGAGGGUCAUUGGAAACUGGGGGACUUGA
This 296-nucleotide ribosomal RNA is filed under the name Bacillus sp. LB. RNAcentral describes it as "partial 16S ribosomal RNA". It matches the Rfam family "Bacterial small subunit ribosomal RNA", at positions 358 to 645 of the family's 1533-position model. The record is from RNAcentral. Lineage: Bacteria; Bacillati; Bacillota; Bacilli; Caryophanales; Bacillaceae.